GGGCUCGCUUCAGCAGCACAUAUACUAAAAUUGGAAAGAUACAACAUUAGCACAGCUCCUGCGCAAGGAUGACACGCAAAUUCGUGAAGCGUCCCAUAUUUUU
Molecule: small nuclear RNA, 103 nt
Organism: Trichechus manatus latirostris (Florida manatee)
Lineage: Eukaryota; Metazoa; Chordata; Mammalia; Sirenia; Trichechidae
Source: RefSeq, a predicted model, not a curated record